GUGCUCACUCUGGCAGCGCAUAUACUAAAACUGGAACCAUACAGAGAAGAUUAGCACGGUCCCUGCGCAAGGAUGGCAUGCAAAUUUGUGAAGCACUCCAUUAUUUU
Small nuclear RNA from Nomascus leucogenys (northern white-cheeked gibbon), 107 nucleotides. NCBI's taxonomy places the organism in Eukaryota, Metazoa, Chordata, Mammalia, Primates, Hylobatidae. The record is from Ensembl.